Non-coding RNA from Gossypium raimondii (Peruvian cotton), 146 nucleotides. The record is from Rfam. NCBI's taxonomy places the organism in Eukaryota, Viridiplantae, Streptophyta, Magnoliopsida, Malvales, Malvaceae.
UGUUAAAUAUUUCAUCUAUUUGUACUGUUAAAAACUGAUGCGAUUGACAGAAUAAUUAAAUAGUGACACAUAGUAUGCUACGUGUACCUCAUACUAACGUACAUGAUCCAGUUUUUAACAAUAAAAAUAGAUAGAAAUUUUUGACA